This 321-nucleotide long non-coding RNA is filed under the name Mytilus galloprovincialis (Mediterranean mussel). The record is from RNAcentral. Lineage: Eukaryota; Metazoa; Mollusca; Bivalvia; Mytilida; Mytilidae.
UGAUUUUUUUUUUUUUUUUUGAGGCGAUUCGUUUUGAAAAUCAGCGGCCAUGUUUAAUUUAUCAAAUUUGAUAUUAACACUGUUUUUCUGUAAUGGCCCUGUAUUAAUGCCCAGUUUGUCUGUAUUAAGCCCAGUUAGGGUUUUUAAUAAACAGCCAUUUUUGGCAAUAAUUAAUGUACUUAGUUGGUUGAUAAAAGUAAAAUACACCUUAUAGUAAAAGUUCAUUUGAAAUUCUUUGUUUUUCAUCAGAAAUGCUUUCAUUUGACUACAAAAUGGACUUAAUCCACACCAGUAAGUAAUAAGUAAUGAGUUAUCAAGGCC